GACGAACGCUGGCGGCGUGCUUAACACAUGCAAGUCGAACGGAAAGGCCCUGCUUUUGUGGGGUGCUCGAGUGGCGAACGGGUGAGUAACACGUGAGUAACCUGCCCUUGACUUUGGGAUAACUUCAGGAAACUGGGGCUAAUACCGGAUAGGAGCUCCUGCUGCAUGGUGGGGGUUGGAAAGUUUCGGCGGUUGGGGAUGGACUCGCGGCUUAUCAGCUUGUUUGUGGGGGAGUGGCUUACCACGGCUUUGACGGGUAGCCGGCCUGAGAGGGUGACCGGCCACAUUGGGACUGCGAUACGGCCCAGACUCCUACGGGAGGCAGCAGUGGGGAAUAUUGCACAAUGGGCGGAAGCCUGAUGCAGCAACGCCGCGUGCGGGAUGACGGCCUUCGGGUUGUAAACCGCUUUCGCCUGUGACGAAGCGUGAGUGACGGUAAUGGGUAAAGAAGCACCGGCUAACUACGUG
This 468-nucleotide ribosomal RNA is filed under the name uncultured bacterium. RNAcentral describes it as "partial 16S ribosomal RNA". It matches the Rfam family "Bacterial small subunit ribosomal RNA", at positions 28 to 507 of the family's 1533-position model. The record is from RNAcentral.